RNAcentral lists this ribosomal RNA (114 nucleotides) under Papio anubis (olive baboon). Lineage: Eukaryota; Metazoa; Chordata; Mammalia; Primates; Cercopithecidae. The record is from RNAcentral.
AUCUGCCACCAUACCACCCUGAAUGUGCCCAAUCUCAUCUGAUCUCGGAGGCUAAGCAGGGUUGGUCCUGAUUAAUACUUGUAUGGGAGAAGGCAUUGAUGCCUAGGGCAAGUU